AUAUGGUUGAAUUGUCUUCCUUUUAAAAAUAAAGACAAAUUAAGAUGAAUUUUAUUAAUUCUUCUCUAUAUUUUUAUUUUGAUGAAAAUUUUUUUAAGCCAAAGUAAAUUUUUAGUUUAAACUUUAGAAAAAUAAAUCUUUGGUAAGUAUUUAGUGUUAUAUAGUUUAGUAUUGAAUUAAGCGUUGUUAAUAGUAAAUCAUAAUUUUAAAUUUUGAAGUGAAAGGCUUUUAUAUUGCUAGAUGUGCAUUUUAAAUCUAAUAUAACGGCAAUUGGUUAUUUUAAAAUUGAGAUUAUAUUCUAAAUAUUGCUUAAUAUUUAUCAAAUGUUUUAUUGUUCUGAUUAAUUGGCUUAAAGUAAUACCGAAGUGAUUAUAAUAAUGGAACACAUUGGGACCAGGAUGAGUUGAACAUCCGACCUCAGGUUU
RNAcentral lists this unclassified non-coding RNA (425 nucleotides) under Borreliella garinii. RNAcentral's name for it is "partial 16S-23S ribosomal RNA intergenic spacer". The record is from RNAcentral. Lineage: Bacteria; Pseudomonadati; Spirochaetota; Spirochaetia; Spirochaetales; Borreliaceae.